RNAcentral lists this non-coding RNA (27 nucleotides) under Cricetulus griseus (Chinese hamster). The record is from RNAcentral. Lineage: Eukaryota; Metazoa; Chordata; Mammalia; Rodentia; Cricetidae.
GUAAGUAUCAGGCUAAGAGCUCAGGCU